Canis lupus familiaris (dog) is the source of this 1701-nucleotide long non-coding RNA. RefSeq lists it as uncharacterized. The record is from RefSeq and is a predicted model, not a curated record. The transcript is spliced from 3 exons. Lineage: Eukaryota; Metazoa; Chordata; Mammalia; Carnivora; Canidae.
AAGGGCCUCAGACGCCAUCUGGGCCAAGCUUCCCUUUUAGAACUGAAAAAGUGAGGCCCAUCGAAGCGAAGCCGAUUGCCCAGUAUUGCACACCAUUAAAUCUUAAGGUUGCAUUUUUUUUCGUGUGUGUGGCUCCCACUUUGGGGUUCUUUGCUUCGCACCAUUCAGUCUCCCCUUCCUUUCUAUCUAACCUGCUGUCCUUAAGUGGACUCAGUCCAGUCAGCCCUAAGUACCAUCACCGCCAUAACACACAGUUCUGAUGGUGCUAAGCUCCAAGGAGCCAGUGUCUGCUGAAGUACCUAGCUCCUUGGCUUUUUUUUUUUUUUUUUUUUUCUACUUGGCUUUUAAUCAACGCAGGCAGGCCCUGAAUUACCAUUCCCAGUACAUGAGUUCAGCAAGUCACUGCCUCUCCAGGGAGACUGGUUUACCCGUGGACUUCCGCCAGCCUUGCCCAUCUGAGCCUUUGCUCAAGCAGCUACUUUACCACCAAGGGUGCCUUCUCUAUCUUUUCUCUUUAACCAGAUUUUCUACCUGGGCCCGACUUGGUUCCUCCACAAAACAGCCAGAGGCAGUGUGAGAUUAAGCUAGACCUGGGUUGAGAGCCCAGCUCUUCCACUUCGUAGCUGUGUGAACUUAAUCAAAUUGCUUAACCUCUCUGAGCUUCAGUUUCUGCAUCUGCAUCACAGUGAGUGCCACCUACUAGAAUUUGCUGCAGUGAUGGAAAUGUAACCAUUUGUGGCUGUUGACCACAUGAAACGCAACUAAUGUGGCUGAGGAGCUGAAUUUUUCAUUUUCACAGCCACGUGUGGCUGGUGGCUACCAUAUUGGAUGGUGCAACCCUAAGCUGCGUGGUCAACAAGGGCAGAAAUCACGUUGAUCUUGCUUGACAUUACAUCCCCGGCGAUGAGUACGGGAGAGGAAGAGGGGGAGAGGCGGAGAGAGAGGGAAAAAGAGGAUCCCAAGCAGGCUCCAAGCCCAGCACAGAGCCCAGUGAGGGGCUUGAUCCUUGGCGCCUGAGAUCAUGACCUGAGCUGAAAUCAAGAGCCUGAUGCUUAACCGACUGACUCACCCAGGUCCCUAAUCUAACUGGUUUUUAUCUCUUCUUCCAGGCUUCCAGAACAGUGACUCUCACGCUGUGCUGUCAUAUGGUGUACCCCACCCUAGAUGUCUGACUCCCCUCUCCUGUGGAGGUCGCCUGUCUCCACAACUGGGCUGGGAGCAUCUUGGGGCAAAGUCCAUGGCGUACUUGUUUGGAUGUCCCUCAUUCAUAUUUAGUAACUGCCUCUCACUUUGUCCCAGUUGUGUCAAGCUAUGAGUGAUUCUAGGCAGUAGUACUCCUUGGAAUAUCCCCUGUCUUCCCAAAAUUCAUAUGUUGAAGUCCUAACCCCUGGUUCCUCACAAUUUGACUGUAUUUAGAGAGAGGGUCUUGAAAGAGGUAAUGCAGUUAAAAUGAGAUCAUUCGAGUAGGCCCUAAUCCAAUAUGCAGACAUGUGAGACACGGGGAGAAGGCAGCCAUCAGGAAGCCGAGGGCAGAGGCCUUCAAAGAAACCAAUUCCACUGACACUUCAAUCUCAGACAUCUAUCCUCCAGGAUUGCAAGAAAAAUAAAUUUUGGUUGUUAAAGGCACACGGUCCGUGGUACUUUGGUAUGACAGCCCUAGGAAACUAAGAUACCCUCACGGAAGGUGAAUUAAAAUGAAGA